GGACAGGUGGCAGAGCGGUUGAACGCACGCGCUUGGAAGGCGCGCAUAGGGUAAUACCUAUCGAGGGUUCGAAUCCCUCCCUGUCCGCCA
Molecule: transfer RNA, 90 nt
Filed under: Helicobacteraceae bacterium
Lineage: Bacteria; Pseudomonadati; Campylobacterota; Epsilonproteobacteria; Campylobacterales; Helicobacteraceae
Description: tRNA-Ser
Rfam family: tRNA
About the family: Transfer RNA (tRNA) molecules are approximately 80 nucleotides in length. Their secondary structure includes four short double-helical elements and three loops (D, anti-codon, and T loops). Further hydrogen bonds mediate the characteristic L-shaped molecular structure. tRNAs have two regions of fundamental functional importance: the anti-codon, which is responsible for specific mRNA codon recognition, and the 3' end, to which the tRNAs corresponding amino acid is attached (by aminoacyl-tRNA synthetases). tRNAs cope with the degeneracy of the genetic code in two manners: having more than one tRNA (with a specific anti-codon) for a particular amino acid; and 'wobble' base-pairing, i.e. permitting non-standard base-pairing at the 3rd anti-codon position.
Source: RNAcentral